GACGAACGCUGGCGGCGUGCCUAAUACAUGCAAGUAGGACGCACAGUCUAUACCGUAGCUUGCUACACCAUAGGCUGUGAGUUGCGAACGGGUGAGUAACGCGUAGGUAACCUGCCUAUUAGAGGGGGAUAACUAUUGGAAACGAUAGCUAAUACCGCAUAACAGUAUGUAACACAUGUUAGAUGCUUGAAAGAUGCAAUUGCAUCGCUAGUAGAUGGACCUGCGUUGUAUUAGCUAGUAGGUAGGGUAAUGGCCUACCUAGGCAACGAUACAUAGCCGACCUGAGAGGGUGAUCGGCCACACUGGGACUGAGACACGGCCCAGACUCCUACGGGAGGCAGCAGUAGGGAAUCUUCGGCAAUGGGGGGAACCCUGACCGAGCAACGCCGCGUGAGUGAAGAAAGUUUUCGAAUCGUAAAGCUCUGUUGUUAAGGAAGAACGAGUGUGAGAAUGGAAAGUUCAU
This 463-nucleotide ribosomal RNA is filed under the name Streptococcus anginosus. RNAcentral describes it as "bacterial SSU rRNA". It matches the Rfam family "Bacterial small subunit ribosomal RNA", at positions 28 to 467 of the family's 1533-position model. Lineage: Bacteria; Bacillati; Bacillota; Bacilli; Lactobacillales; Streptococcaceae. The record is from RNAcentral.